UCUGCAGGAUUGGUGUCGUGUUGAUGAAACCAUGCAUGUCUUGCUGAAAAUGUUUCCUGCUAAAGCAAUCAUGUGGAAAAUGGGCAGUUGGAAUGAACCCUAAUCAUCCACUGGGUAUCUCGACAAUAAUUUUCCUUGGUUCA
This is a small nucleolar RNA of Musa acuminata AAA Group (dessert banana), 143 nucleotides long. RefSeq annotates it as small nucleolar RNA snoR135. The record is from RefSeq and is a predicted model, not a curated record. The transcript has a single exon. Lineage: Eukaryota; Viridiplantae; Streptophyta; Magnoliopsida; Zingiberales; Musaceae.